UUCAACGCCUUCCUGUCACUGCACGCACGCAGGAGAGGCGCGAGCUGCUCUUGAACAUACACCGGUUUGUUAAGUUCAACACAAAAACAGCCGAAUGAGAGAAGUCUUUCAAAGUUGACCUGAAGAAAACGCUAAGCGAGACUUCUCCCGACAACAAAAUGAGGCUUGGUUCAACGAUGAAGUUUUUGAUUAGUAAGAAUUCAUACAUUUUCUGUCGACAGUUAGAAUCCCUAAUCUGCUGUUUAAUUUACGCAAUAUAGAAAAAAUAGACGAAAAAGUUCUUAAAAUCAACCAAUAAACGUAAUAGACUUUGUUGAUCCUGCACAGGAGGAUUAUUUUAAAAUCUGGCAAGAAUUAUAACAAGGAUUAUAGGCUAACCUAAAACAUCACUCACUAACAAUUCGCUGAGGGAGUGAAGCAACAUUGUAUAAAAUUGUCCUUGAUCUAAACCUCAUUAUGAUACUCAUCGAGCUGCUUAUGUUUUGCUCCGGAUUCAAAUGGAAAAUAAAGGAGUUUCACUUGUUCAGGGAGGCUGGAGCAGCUCUUUGCUCUGUUACAAACUUUGCGAAAAUGUAGAUCUCUUCCGUGACCUCUUUAGCGGGACAAAGGAGGCUGCAGAUCGAUUCGUUACACCUUUUUAGUGAAGGCUUCUGCUGAAGGGGAGGGGCUCUGUAUCCACCAGAGGCUCCAUUAAUAGCCUACACUCCAUCCUAACUAUUAUCCCGCAUAAAGUGUUUAUAAAAGGGAACACAACUGGGCUAAUGUUAGCUCAAAUCAGACAGCAUGACACGGGCUAUCCGUUUACCGUCGGAGAGAAGAGUGAAAAAGAGAGGAAGAAGAAGCCCCCCUGCUCCCCACACUUUUUUUUCUGGGAGACCUGACUGGAUUCGGCCAGAAAAGGACCUCAAGCCUGUCUUUUAAGUCUAGCUAAAUCCUACAUGACAGUGGAUUACACACUUUUGGCUAACCAUUGAGCUAGUCCUGAAUCGACUGGAUCUGGUCCGACUUUAAUAUGUCAAGGAAAGCUGUUUUAAAAGAUAAACUGGGGGAUACUGCUAGAUAGUCCUGCAGGGAGUCAAAUAAGGUGAGGGACACUGACAAAGUUGAUGUUCUAUAACUUUGGAUUCUAAAUCAUUACAAAAACACUACUGCUUCAAAUACCAUUGUGUUAUUUCCAUUAGAAUAAAACUAAAUAUGGCACCAAAUCAUUUUAAAUUCUUGCAUAUCAGUAAGAUAUAAUAGUUUUAAAGCAAGUUAGAAACACUAUUGAUUAUAUGUACAUGUGAAAUUUGGUGACGCUUAUGGUAGCAGGUGUGUUAUCAACUAUCACACACUUCAACAUGAACCCCAGCCCCCAUGACAAUGUGACUGAGCUGUAUUUUUCAUUUGGUCUGUUUGCCGCCACACACAUAUGAAAUAUAUAUUUGAUUUAACAAAAUAAUAAAAAUAAAAUCAAAGAAGCUC
Notolabrus celidotus (New Zealand spotty) is the source of this 1464-nucleotide long non-coding RNA. RefSeq lists it as uncharacterized. NCBI's taxonomy places the organism in Eukaryota, Metazoa, Chordata, Actinopteri, Labriformes, Labridae. The record is from RefSeq and is a predicted model, not a curated record. The transcript is spliced from 2 exons.